ACUUUAUUCAAUCAAUUCUUGUGUCUCUCCAAUGAAUAAAACUAUGCCUUUCAGGAAUGAGGAAACUGAGGAAGAGGUGCUAAACGUGUUUGCACGGCUCACAGAGAUUUGGUCACAGCAGAAAUUGUUGGAUUCAGGAGGCUACUCCACCCCCAUCUGCACCCACAUCACAAGCCCACACCUUCCCCUUCUGGUGUUACUGGAAUACAAAUGCUUCUUUCUCUUAUGUGCUUGCCAAGACCUGGGGCAGAACCAUCAUAUUCCCUGUAUGCCAGUGGAUGUGGUCAUUCCACAAGCUCUUCCAUAGGUCCUUUACUCAUAUGGAGAGCUGCCUCUGACAGAUGAUCAGGCUGAAGAUCUGGAAGAGAUCCAGAAGCACAGGAGCUCACAACAGUUGUGGAUGACACAAACUGACAAGGCGGCAAAUAACCAUGAAGACUCUUUGGUAUAGUGGCACACAUAUAUAAAAUAUAUAAAUUCAUAAUACAAAUAAUAUAAAUGACGUUUGUGUACACACACAGAAAUACAUAUGCAUAUUUGCUUAAGCAACCUGGAUUGUUUGGAGAAUUUGAUUAAUGCAAAAUACGGUUCUAUGUGACUAUUUAGUACUUGGCAUGGUCAUAAAAAGAAGUCCUGAAGGUCAUGCCUACAAAUGCAUGGACUGCAGUGUGAGUGGCAGUAUGAUAAGUAGGAGUCUCAGCUCAACAGGAAUUAUUAUUUUGAUGUAGACACAAAUCAGACUAUUAUAGUUCUUGAACAGAUAAAAAAAGAAAAGUGAGAAACAUCUGAAAGUAUGAUUUCCCUCUGACAAUAAUGUCAGUGAGCUGGAUACUGGGCAUCUGGACAGUUUUGAAGGUCACACACUCAACACUCAGGUAUGCACACACACAAACUACAAACAUGGAAAGGGUACAGAAAAGAGCCAUACAAUGAUCUGAUGGGGGAGAAGAAGUAUCUUAUAGCAAGGAUUUAGAGAUCUCCUCUAAAAUCUUUAAUGAUUUUAAGUUACAGAAAAUUUGAGAAAAGUCUUAAUUGUAGUCUAAUAAUACCUCCAUGGAAAUAAAACAAUGGCUUUUCAAAAGCCUUUUAUUUCA
This 1094-nucleotide long non-coding RNA is filed under the name Lonchura striata (white-rumped munia). RNAcentral's name for it is "domestica (Bengalese finch) lncRNA (ENSLSDG00000013648.1)". Lineage: Eukaryota; Metazoa; Chordata; Aves; Passeriformes; Estrildidae. The record is from RNAcentral.